This 1606-nucleotide long non-coding RNA is filed under the name Struthio camelus australis. RNAcentral's name for it is "lncRNA (ENSSCUG00000007094.1)". The record is from RNAcentral. Lineage: Eukaryota; Metazoa; Chordata; Aves; Struthioniformes; Struthionidae.
AUGGCUCCUCCUCUUGCCAGGCUCCUUGACACGGUGCGAUCUGGAAGCCGAGGAAUGCGGCUGCGGGGGCAGCGGAGCGGUCUGCGGGGCGUGUGCGCGGCGGAGGGGGGCCCACAGCGGAGCAAUGUGCCCGUGGGUAGCUGGUGUGCACGGAGGAGGGAGAGCAGAGCAACAUGCGGCGUGUGCGCGCGGGGAGGGGAGCAGGAAGCGGAGCAAUGCGAGAGGGCAGCGUAUGCGGCGGGGAGACAGCAGAGCAGUCUGCAGGCUUUGUGCUCUGGGCCGGGCAGCAGAGCGAUGUGCAAGGGGGUAGAUUAUGCACGAAGGAGGGGGGAGGGAGAGGAGGGGACAGCGACACGGGCAGCAGAGCGGUGUGCAAGGGGGAAGCGUGCAUGCUCUGCGGGGAGGCACCGGGACGCGGCUUUUGUGGAGGCGGGGCCCUCUUUCUUCUUGCGCUCUUCAGAGACCUCUGAACUCAGUGAUUUAUUUGCCACAGACUGGGCUGCAGGUCGGACUCAUCGUCUUCUCUGCAAGGGGCUGAAGGGGACAGUCCUUGUCCCUUUCCCGGCCUCUCAGCUCCGUCUCUCCCUUGUAAUUGUCCCUGUGUAGUCCCGCGCACAGAUGAGACACUCGGACUACGCCGUCCCUUCCCUCCAGCCCCGCGAGAUGGGGCCGAGUCUCUCCUGAUGUGCUGCCUGCACCGCGUGACUGUUCUCGUUUCUCGCUUUGAGAUAUAAAUAUAUACAUGCAUAUAUAUAUAUAUUUGUAUAUGUGUACACACACACAUACACACGCAUACACAUCUGUGUGUGUGAAUCUAUGCAGCCUCAGAUUGCUGAAACUUUUAUUCAUCAUCGCUUCUUGCUUGUGUUUCCUCUGUAAGAUUCACAGCUUCGCAGGAUCUAAGGGAAGCCGAGUGGGGAACGCAGAAAAGUCUAUCCUUGCCUGCUUUUGUGUUUCUGAGCCAGAAUGAGCUGCAGCCCUGUUUGACCCUUACACAGGUAUAAAGUGGGGAGGGUUUUUAAUUUCAAUACAUACCGAGUGACCUGACACACUCAGUUAAACUAUUCAUAGGACUACAAAUGUGAACUGACUUCCCCUGCAUUAUGUCCACCACAACUCACUUGGCGCUUGGAAACAGAUACUACAGAUACAUUACGAACACUGUAUUAUUCCAUAGCAAAAGCGACCUAGGCAAGCAAGUGAAACUGCCGGUGCCAAUCUCUCAGUGUAUCCUUUAAAAUAUUUCGCAAGGCUUUCUAAAAGAGAUCGAACUUUGUUGCCUUCUAAAUUGUAGCAGCAAUAAUAACGGUGGUGGUGAUAGUGUAGCACAUGAGAAAUGGAUAUAAAAAUGGUCUGAUCUAGAGAAGACCCAGGUGCUGGACGCUGCCACCCAGAGCUGUGCAUUUUCCGCCUGAUGUCAUGUUGCUGCCAUGGGAGUACGGAGGUUCUGGUGGUGGUGUUUGAAAGUAACCUACGUUUAAUAUUUAUCACUUUCCUUCCUGCUCUGAAAACGGAAUGAAAGCCCUGCUCUCAGCAAUUUUUUGUCGGAGCAGCCUGAUUUCUCCCAUUAACUCAAGCAAGGCUUCCCACGGGGAGGAGAGGGAGA